This 913-nucleotide ribosomal RNA is filed under the name Staphylococcus aureus M0034. RNAcentral describes it as "bacterial SSU rRNA". It matches the Rfam family "Bacterial small subunit ribosomal RNA", at positions 8 to 902 of the family's 1533-position model. The record is from RNAcentral. Lineage: Bacteria; Bacillati; Bacillota; Bacilli; Caryophanales; Staphylococcaceae.
AGAGUUUGAUCCUGGCUCAGGAUGAACGCUGGCGGCGUGCCUAAUACAUGCAAGUCGAGCGAACGGACGAGAAGCUUGCUUCUCUGAUGUUAGCGGCGGACGGGUGAGUAACACGUGGAUAACCUACCUAUAAGACUGGGAUAACUUCGGGAAACCGGAGCUAAUACCGGAUAAUAUUUUGAACCGCAUGGUUCAAAAGUGAAAGACGGUCUUGCUGUCACUUAUAGAUGGAUCCGCGCUGCAUUAGCUAGUUGGUAAGGUAACGGCUUACCAAGGCAACGAUGCAUAGCCGACCUGAGAGGGUGAUCGGCCACACUGGAACUGAGACACGGUCCAGACUCCUACGGGAGGCAGCAGUAGGGAAUCUUCCGCAAUGGGCGAAAGCCUGACGGAGCAACGCCGCGUGAGUGAUGAAGGUCUUCGGAUCGUAAAACUCUGUUAUUAGGGAAGAACAUAUGUGUAAGUAACUGUGCACAUCUUGACGGUACCUAAUCAGAAAGCCACGGCUAACUACGUGCCAGCAGCCGCGGUAAUACGUAGGUGGCAAGCGUUAUCCGGAAUUAUUGGGCGUAAAGCGCGCGUAGGCGGUUUUUUAAGUCUGAUGUGAAAGCCCACGGCUCAACCGUGGAGGGUCAUUGGAAACUGGAAAACUUGAGUGCAGAAGAGGAAAGUGGAAUUCCAUGUGUAGCGGUGAAAUGCGCAGAGAUAUGGAGGAACACCAGUGGCGAAGGCGACUUUCUGGUCUGUAACUGACGCUGAUGUGCGAAAGCGUGGGGAUCAAACAGGAUUAGAUACCCUGGUAGUCCACGCCGUAAACGAUGAGUGCUAAGUGUUAGGGGGUUUCCGCCCCUUAGUGCUGCAGCUAACGCAUUAAGCACUCCGCCUGGGGAGUACGACCGCAAGGUUGAAACUC